RNAcentral lists this unclassified non-coding RNA (257 nucleotides) under Hevea brasiliensis (rubber tree). The record is from RNAcentral. Lineage: Eukaryota; Viridiplantae; Streptophyta; Magnoliopsida; Malpighiales; Euphorbiaceae.
CGGGCAUUGAAUUUUUUCUAUUCUCUUGUCAACAGUUGAGCUUGAGAGGACUACAUCCCUCCCUCUUUUACAACAUCUUUAUUUUUAGAGGGGAAUUGAUAACAUUCAACUGUAAAUAUAAAUACAGAAUAUAUGAUGUUUACAAACCAAACCUUUUCGGUCUCAAAUAAGUGGAAGAGCCUAGUCGCAGCCCUAGCAUAGGGACUUGCUGCUGCUGCUUUACCUUCCUUUGCCUUUCCCUUUCCUUGCUCUCUUUC